UACAGAGGUCUCGAGCGUUAGGCGGAAUCACUGGGCUUAAAGCGUGUGUAGGCGGAUUGCUAAGUACCUUGUGAAAUCCCACGGCUUAACCGUGGAACUGCUUGGUAUACUGGCUGUCUUGAGCCACUUAGGGGCGACCGGAACAAACGGUGGAGCGGUGAAAUGCGUAGAUAUCGUAAGGAAGACCAGUGGCGAAGGCGGGUCUCUGGACAGUUCCUGACGCUGAGGCACGAAGGUCAGGGGAGCAAACGGG
RNAcentral lists this ribosomal RNA (253 nucleotides) under uncultured bacterium. Its description in RNAcentral is "partial 16S ribosomal RNA". It matches the Rfam family "Bacterial small subunit ribosomal RNA", at positions 524 to 776 of the family's 1533-position model. The record is from RNAcentral.